Molecule: long non-coding RNA, 349 nt
Filed under: Androctonus crassicauda
Lineage: Eukaryota; Metazoa; Arthropoda; Arachnida; Scorpiones; Buthidae
Source: RNAcentral
AUCAGUGUUUGUGCAAGUCCUGCUCAGGCAAUGCUCGUCUUGCUCAAAAACGCAUUUGUUUUUGUUACAUGUGAUUUUUCUAUUUCUCUAGCCCAAAGUGCAUUACAGAAGAUACACCUAUAGAACCAUCACCUUCUGCUCAAUGUGCCAGGCCUCAUCUACUCCUGUACGUUCAGUGACUUUCUUUAGAUGCAAAUGUCAAUUACAACGGAGAGGGGAAAUACUGUCAUUACCCAAGCCUCAGAAAAACACGCGAGAACAAUAACACAGCCACCUGAUGGAAGGAUUGUUGUGGUUUUCGAUUAAGGUGUAUGUUAGUUUCAUCAGAAACUGAAAACAUUAGACUGAU